This is a long non-coding RNA of Acinonyx jubatus (cheetah), 1099 nucleotides long. RefSeq lists it as uncharacterized. The transcript is spliced from 3 exons. The record is from RefSeq and is a predicted model, not a curated record. Lineage: Eukaryota; Metazoa; Chordata; Mammalia; Carnivora; Felidae.
ACAUACAUCAGUGGCCUCAGCUCUUAUCUAGCCCCUGCCAAGCUGCACCUUGCUUUCUUUCCUGUUUAAGAUGGAAUUCAGAUGACCUUGGCCUUCUAUGAAAUUAACCUCACGCCAAGAAAGUGCUCAUUCGUUCAGCCCUGUGACAUCAUAGAUGCCUGUCCCUGCCAGGCGCUGUGCCUGGAGUCCAGAAACAAGAAGGCAGUCAUGUGUGGGGCUCAGAUGGGUGAGCUGUGGUCAUAAACACCUGAGAUCUACGUCCAACACCAGCAUGCUCCAGCUGUGGGACUUCUGGUUCAAAACCUUCCGAGCAUCUAUUUCCUCAUCUGUAAAAUAAGAUUAUGACGACUACCCAUACCUUUUUUUUUUUUUCUCCUGUAAUUUAGUUUUCAGAGAGAAUUUUUUGGGUGAGUGUUUACUUAAUAAUACCUCCUUGGACGCCUGGGUGGCUCAAUCGCCAAGCAUCUGACUUUGGCUCAGGUCGUGGUCUCACGGUUCAUGAGUGCGAGCCCUGGAUCAGAAUGCAAACAGAUUGGAUACAGUUCAAAGACUGGGCAGCAAAACAUAAUUAAGAAGUGACUGACUUAUGGGAAAAGAUGAAAAGAGCUCCAACUCCGAAAGCCAUGUUGCAGAAACCCCUGGAAGGAGGUGAUCACCAUUUCCAAGCAUGGAAAUUCAGGAAAUAAAAGACGAGGAGAGGAACUUCUGGGAGAGGGGCAGGAGUUCAAAAGAGGGUGUUGCAUGAGAACCUACUAGAAUGGGUAAGAUUGGCCCUGCCCCAGGAGGUGAAUGAGUAUACACAGUGUCUGUGAUAAAUCACAGUUGAAUGGAGAACCGUGAUUUGAAGGGAAGAGAAUGCACAUUUCCUCUGAGGCUAAACACCAGCACCACCAAAAAGCCCAUCAUUUAGAGUGGGGGUCAGCCAACUUUUUCCGUGAGAAGCAUGGAUCAUAAAUGUUCUCGGCCGUGUGGCCCUCCGGGCUCUGUGUCACCUGCUCUACUCUGCCUUUGUUGGCUGAAAGCAGUCAUAGAUGAUAUGUAAAUAAUACGCGUGGCUGUGUUUCAAUAAAACUUUAUUGACAAAGACAGUGCUCAGGAA